RNA transcript from Helianthus annuus (common sunflower), 2761 nucleotides. RefSeq lists it as uncharacterized. The record is from RefSeq and is a predicted model, not a curated record. The transcript has 12 exons. NCBI's taxonomy places the organism in Eukaryota, Viridiplantae, Streptophyta, Magnoliopsida, Asterales, Asteraceae.
CUCACAUUCUAGGUUUCUCUCAUUCUCUUCCUUCUCUCUCUGCCGCCUCUUUACUGAUAUCAAUCUCCCCUCUAUAAUUCUAUUGAACUCUCUAUUUCCGGUAACCAGUCACCAUCUCCGAUCGACCACGUUUUUCCGGCGACUGAGCCCCUUUUCGUAUACUAAAUCCAAAACCAUAAGCACCACAAUAAACCUACAUUCUUCUUUUCAGGUAUGAAAGAUCCGAAAACCUAAACUUACUUGUACAUAUUCAAGUUUGUUAACCCACAAAUCGAACUGCUGAUGAUUAUUGGUAUGUCUUCAAUGCCACCCAGUUUGGGGAAACGUUUCAUUGUGUUGUGGUUAAGAUGGGUUUUGAUUCUAAUGUGGUUUUGGAAACUGGGUUGUUUGUUUUUUUAUGCGAUGGUUGGGGAUUUAAGUUGUGCACGGAAGAUGUUCGAUGAAAUGUCUGAAAGAGAUGUUGUAUAUAAAUGAUAUAACCCGAUUCAAAGGUAACUUCCCAACUUCAGACGCUUCUAGGGUUUCUUCCAGAAAUCCCGUUCCUCACCUCUGCCUCCUCAUCUACACCCUCUCAUCUAUCACUCUUCCGCCACCUCCGUCAGCCACGGCUUCCGCCGACCACCGCCGUUCCAUUCCCCUCUGUUUUAAGAUCACCCUGUCUUCCUCGCAUAUUGAAAAAUCUCUAUUACUGGCAUCGUUUUACCGGACGGUUUUCUCGGUUCAUUGCCGCGGAAGGAGGUGGAGCCACAUGUCGCGAAUGAAGUUGUUACUCCAAGCUUUAGGAACUAUUGGAAGGCUGGUGAUUUUGAUGAGUUUUUGGAUGGUGAUUGGGAUACAAGUCCGGAUGGUGGGAAUUGCCAGUGAGAACGACGACGAAGACCGAUGGCUGGUGUUUUCCGGCCAUUGAUGUAAAAUCUGAAAAGGAACAAAAUGGCACUUUAGUUCCAACAAGAUUGAAGAGAUAUUAGCAGAACUGUUUCAGUGGUGGUGAGAAUUCGAAGUCUAAUCAUCAGAUUAUGGGACCACUUUGGUUUAUAUAUGCAGAGGCAGAAUUGAAAGUUAUUGAAAGAGAAGCCUUGAAACAAAAUGAUUGGGGAUGACGACUAUCCUACAGGUGGAUCACUAUGCUCAAAAGAUUCGCCCCGUUUUCUUUCCAUUUACUGUUCUCCUUGCAAACGUCAAAGAAGCAGUGAUUCAUGAUUUCUAUAUCUUGAAGAAGAAAAGAGUCCAUCUAUUGAAGUCCUUCCCGAUGAGAUUCUUUAUGAAAUCUUUAGGCGUUUGCCUGGUGGUCAAGCUCGAAGUGCAGAGAUGUGUGUCUCUAGCUGUUGACUCACUGUUCUGAGUAAUGUUAGAAACAGAGAUUGUUCAUGAACCAUCUAAUGACUCUGAAAUGGUUCAAGAAAAUGAUGCAUUUCUUACUAUAUGCUUAGAAGGAAAGAAAGCAACAAAUAUCUAUUUUUGACACGAUAAGGGAUAGAUAAAGAAUGAUUGCGGUUCAAGCAGUGUCUUCCAAAUGAGAUGGCUCACUAAGCUGCAGGCUGUUGGGAUGCUGAAAUCGAGUCUUCUUAUGGAGUAAUGGUUGGACCGAGUGUGUUGGGAUUGCUGACAUAUCCACAUAUGACCUGCGUGCACCCACUGAAAAAAGUGGUGUAGCUCUUGUAGCCCAAGAGAUAUUUUGCAGAGUUAAAAGAAGUGGAUGAACUGGUUAUUAAACAUGUUAAGAAGGAACUUCGGCUUGCAUUGAAGGGUAGUCAAAAGAUGGUGGGGUUGAAGCACCGGAGGUUGAUUGGCUUAACAAGUUCAUCGAGUACAUGUGGCCUUGACAAGGCAAUAUGCAAGACUGCAAAGGAGAUUGCAAAGCCCAUUAUUGCUGAACAAAUUCCAAAGUUCAAAAUUGAUUCGGUUCAGUUUGAGCAUCUUACCUUAUGGUCGUUGCCUCCUACUUUUCAAGGUUACAUGGUUAAGAACUAAAAACCAAAACAGCUGGCCCAACCAUAACCUGUUCAUACGGUCUAUGUGUUGGUAUUAAGACUGGUCUGGUUGGUCCAACAAAAUAAAACUGGUCUAAACCAAGUGCUUGAGGCAUAGCAAGGAACCGAAACAAAUCAGUCGACCACAAGUGCCUUUCUCAUGCAGAUCCAACAAGUACAUUUCUGGCUCACUAAUGAAAAAGGGGACAAAGGAUUAUGGCAGUGUCGUGGAGUGUGUCACAGUGGAUGGCGAUACGGUGUGGAUGGCGAUUAGUGAUUGGGUUAUUUCUUGCUUAACUGUUACUGAUGAGAUCGCUGGUUCGAUUCUGACCGGUGAUAUCGGUCCAUUUCAUGUCACUUAGGUUCAAAUUUGCUGCCCGUUUUAAUUUUGUGCAGGUUCAAGUUCUGAACAUUGUGCAACAUGAUCUUGUGCAUAUAUGAAUUGGAGAAGAUGUAUGACAUAUGCAGUUUCAGUACAUUGGUUGCAGUUUCAAUCCGAAUUGGCCCAUUUUCACAUAAUAGCCACAUAGGAUUUAAAUCAUCUCCACGUUUAGAUAGAAGAUUCGUACUUUACCACCACACCAAGGGACAAGGUAGUUGGUAGCUUACGGGUGCUGUAUCUUUUUGUUGGACAAUCACCCAACAGAAGCAGGUAGAUUUCGUAGGGAAUCCAAACCGAGGUCCUAAACAAUGCCUUUGUCUCAUUGUAGUUUACUAAUUUAUUAUUACUUCAACGGUUAUUUAAUUCAAACGAUUACUUCAAUAAAUUAAACUUAUUCAUUUGUGUUUUA